GAAGCAAGCCAGACCGCCGCUGGCCCGAUCAGGGAAACCUGGGGCUGGAGGAAGGUCCGGACUGCAUAGAGCGGCGUAGCAGCUAACGGCUGUCCGGCGUGAGCCGAGGAUCAGAGCAACAGAGACGAGUCGAUCAAACGUGCGGGGUGCAAGCCCUGCGGGACCAUGAGCGCAGCCCAUGGGAUCGGGUGAAACGGGCAAUCUCUACGCGCAGCAACACCAAGUAGGCCAGUAUCGAGGCGGCUCGCUGAGCUGGCGGGUAGGUGGCACCGAGCCGGGCAGUGAUGCCCGGCCCAGAGGAAUGGCGGUCACAGGACCAAAGCCCGCAAGGGUCAGGUCUUGCACAGAAUCCGGCCUAUCGGCUUGCUUCACUC
RNAcentral lists this RNase P RNA (374 nucleotides) under Paucibacter sp. XJ19-41. RNAcentral describes it as "RNase P RNA component class A". It matches the Rfam family "Bacterial RNase P class A". From Rfam's summary of the family: Ribonuclease P (RNase P) is a ubiquitous endoribonuclease, found in archaea, bacteria and eukarya as well as chloroplasts and mitochondria. Its best characterised activity is the generation of mature 5'-ends of tRNAs by cleaving the 5'-leader elements of precursor-tRNAs. Cellular RNase Ps are ribonucleoproteins. RNAcentral also lists the same sequence under 2 other names. The record is from RNAcentral. Lineage: Bacteria; Pseudomonadati; Pseudomonadota; Betaproteobacteria; Burkholderiales; Sphaerotilaceae.